RNAcentral lists this transfer RNA (73 nucleotides) under Mus musculus (house mouse). Its description in RNAcentral is "tRNA-Ser". The record is from RNAcentral. Lineage: Eukaryota; Metazoa; Chordata; Mammalia; Rodentia; Muridae.
GGGGAGGUGGCUCAGCGGUUAAAAGCACUGACUGCUCUUCCAGAGGUCCUGAGGUCAAUUCCCAGCAACUACA